GAGAAGGCAUUCUUUUAUUACAUCUAUAUUAAAGAAUAUUAUAUUAUCAUCAGGCUAAUUUCCCUUGAAGUGAUCAUUCGGCAUGCACGUACCUCUCCGGCAACGGAUGUUGGGAAGAUUAUGUAUUCAACCCUCUUUGUAAUUUUGGUGAACAUCUAGUGGAUUGGGCUGACGUGAGUUGCCCCGCAGACGUAGGAGAAGUGUUCCGAACUGCGUGAUCAAUAUCUGGUUCCUGGUUUCUAUGAAACUGGAGAAAACAUUGAUAGGAUUAAAGACUAAAUUGGAAGAAGGGUAUUCAUGGACUUUACUCCGUCAGUUAGAUCAUCAGCACGGUGUGUACCUAGAUGAAGAUUAUCAAAGAACAAUUUGUCACUCCAAGCUCGCUGUUGCCUGGAGAUUAAUGGAGGAUUCUUUCGGACAAAUCUUUGAUAGCUACACAAAAAUUAACGUUAUCAAAAACGUCAUUUACAACUGUGGUUCAAAUUUCAAUAGAAUUGACUUCAAAGUCGGCUUCUACACCGCUGUCUUGGAAACAAAUGGGGAAAUAGUUUGUGUUGCAGC
Ipomoea nil (Japanese morning glory) is the source of this 561-nucleotide long non-coding RNA. RefSeq lists it as uncharacterized. The transcript has 3 exons. The record is from RefSeq and is a predicted model, not a curated record. Lineage: Eukaryota; Viridiplantae; Streptophyta; Magnoliopsida; Solanales; Convolvulaceae.